This 341-nucleotide ribosomal RNA is filed under the name uncultured soil bacterium. RNAcentral describes it as "bacterial SSU rRNA". It matches the Rfam family "Bacterial small subunit ribosomal RNA", at positions 26 to 394 of the family's 1533-position model. The record is from RNAcentral.
AGAGCGAACGCUGGCGGCAGGCCUAACACAUGCAAGUCGAACGAACUCUUCGGAGUUAGUGGCGCACGGGUGCGUAACGCGUGGGAAUCUGCCCCUUGGUUCGGAAUAACAGUUGGAAACGACUGCUAAUACCGGAUGAUGACGAAAGUCCAAAGAUUUAUCGCCCAGGGAUGAGCCCGCGUAGGAUUAGCUAGUUGGUGAGGUAAAGGCUCACCAAGGCAACGAUCCUUAGCUGGUCUGAGAGGAUGAUCAGCCACACUGGGACUGAGACACGGCCCAGACUCCGUACGGGAGGCAGCAGUAGGGAAUAUUGGACAAUGGGACAAAGCCUGAUCCAGCAA